This 265-nucleotide long non-coding RNA is filed under the name Sorghum bicolor (sorghum). Its description in RNAcentral is "long non-coding RNA (SBIC_LNC010325)". The record is from RNAcentral. Lineage: Eukaryota; Viridiplantae; Streptophyta; Magnoliopsida; Poales; Poaceae.
GAGGGUGGACUAUAUAAGAAUGAACAAAGCUGUCACUAUCGCAAACUACCACACGACCCGACCAAUAGGAUACAUUUGCAGGUAAAUAACAUCUAAGCACCAUGCCCACAUGUGAUCUACCACUUAACUCCCGCGCGUCAAGAGCUAAGCGCUUUGCAAACUUAUACAUAAACUCAUUAUCAAUCAUAACUAUAUCAAAUAUAGAACUAGAGCAAACUAAGAACAUAAUAAAUAGAGACAUAAUGCAAUUAGAACAAAGUAUUAC